This 1259-nucleotide long non-coding RNA is filed under the name Lathyrus oleraceus (garden pea). RNAcentral's name for it is "Pisum sativum (pea) long non-coding RNA (PSAT_LNC019635)". The record is from RNAcentral. Lineage: Eukaryota; Viridiplantae; Streptophyta; Magnoliopsida; Fabales; Fabaceae.
AAGAAGUCUUGAACCAAAAACGCUUAUGCACAAGUCGGAGCAGCUACGUGUUUCACCACCAAUAGUCGCUUUUGCGUUCACGUAUUCACAACAACGUCGCAUUUUGCAGCCGAGCUUCACGUUCAUCGACAACUUCGUCUUAUUCAAAUCACAACGUACAAAAUGAAGAAACACGGCUCCACCUCAAUGAUUCACGACUCAAAAUCCUCAACAAUACUCGAUUCGAUUUACUUGUGCACGCGCGAAAACAAGGAAAAACAGAAUUGAAAUCAAGAAACUCACCGAAUUUGAAGCUUCGAUUACAAACAGGUAUGAAUUCCCUUUCUCUGCUCGAUUUUCGAUUGCUUCCUCUUCUUCACCGGUUCGAUUUCCGAUUGCUUGUUGCGAUAUUUUCCUGUGUUGCAUUGAGUGUGUAUGAGAUGUAUGCAAAUUGUUGCGUGAGAAUGAGUGAGAGAGAAAGAGAGAACUCUGAGUCUUGGCGAGUUGAAUCGAGAUUGUGAAAAAUGAAUCUCUGAGUCAAUGAAUCCUGAGAUCAAUCCCUAUUGAGGUGAAGGAUGAAUGAUACUUAUAGCUAAUGGAUUUAAUAGAGAUCAAACUCUGUUAAAUCGUGAUAGCUUGAAACGGUUGGAAAUUAGCUUUGUUAAUUGGCUCUGUUAGAAGUUAGUUGGAAAACUGAUUUGUUAGUUUCACUAAACUUUCUGUUAAAAUGGAUUUACUUCCAGCUGUUAUGAAUGAGUAUUAGUUAGUGUAGAGUGCAAGCUAUAUUGGAACUGUUAGUAAUUGGAACGCUGCUAUGAAUGUCGGCACCGUUAUUUUGUGGGCGAAUGCUAGUAAUCGGUUAGAAAAAUUUCUUGUUAGUUGAUGCUAUGUCAGUAUAUGAAGUUAGGUUAUUAUUAAUGGCUCUUAUAUGUAAAUGUUGAUGAGGGAAUGAUGCUUAACAAAAUGGAAGUAUGCAAGUGUAAUCGAUUAAGAGUCAAUUCAAUAUAUGUAAUGAAAUAAUGAGCCAAGUUAUUUAGUUUAGAAACGGAAGUCAGUGACAUUUUAUGGGAUGUAUAAAACAUGUUGGUAUGAUGCUUGAAAUGAGUCUUGUAUGAUGCUUGAAAUGAGUCUUGUAUGAAUUCUAUUAGGCUGGUUUUAUGCAGGUCUUGGUAGUUCAAACAUGUGGUGCAUAGGGUGUGCAAAAAAAUUAAUUAUUCAUGAUCAAAUUGGUAUUCAAAUUAUUCCACUUUUAAAAAACCAAAGCAAAUGUUAAAAUAAAA